CUCGUUGGCUGGGUUGGCUGUUUACCGGGUCCACCAGGUUUUGCCCAAUGAGCUCGGGGCGCUCCGCACCCAAUCGCCUGCUUCUCGUCCCACGCCCACCCCACCCGCCAACCGAACCCUAGCGCCCUUUCUCCUUCCCCUCCAUCCCCACGAGCCGCCACACCCCUCCAUCUCUCCCUCAUCCUCUCCUCACCUGCAGCCGCUGUGCUUGUCUCUCCACUCGCCUCCUCCUCUCCUCUACCACGUCGUCGUCGAUCCACCGCCGGCCUUCUCCUCUGCUUACCUCCUCCUGUCCUCUUCCAUGUCGCCGUCGGUCCAGAUCGGACGUAUCGUCGUGGGGGAGCAGCGCCGGCAGGGUCUUCGCGGUGCGGGUGGGGGGUAGGAUGCGACGACAAGGGGAAGGAUGAGGCCGGUGAGGAAGGCAAGCAACAGCGGGUGGGGGUAAGGGGCAGGGUGAGGCCUCGCGCACCUGCCGGCGGCCGGCGGGUCGACUUGUCGCGCCACCGCGUCGUCGCCUCCUCUGCACCAUGCGGUGCCACCUCUGCCUCCACCCCCACCGGGCAAGGAGCUCGAGGUGAACAGGCGGUGUGGGAAGGCGAGAGGAAGCAGGAGCUCAUCUCUCCUCCAAUGGAUGUCUCGUGCAUCACGUGCCUGUUGGAGGUGGCUCGAGCGAUGCAGGCUAGCGGCGAACUAGAUCUGACAUAGAAGACCACGUUCCUCAGCGAUCCCAGAAUAUAUUAGACAAUAUGGUAGUCCAAUGCUGUUUUGAAGUAUAUAUUGGCACCAUGCUGACAGGAAGUGAAGACGGCCAGUCAUCGCGCCAUAUUCCCGUUUGAUAUCAAACUCUCAAAAAGGAAAAACAACUUUACUCUGUUUUUUGGAGAACCUUCCUGUAGAGUACCUUGACAGAGACAAAUAUGCGAUCAAGGAUAUAUUCGAUGGAUUUUCACGCAAAACUUGGAGGAUAUUUUUUGCAGGUUCAUUGCUUGCUUUAUUGUUUUCUUACUUUCCGUUCUUCAAGACAAUAUCUUCCUAGCAUUGCUCUAUAAAUUUAAAUCCAUCUUUUUGUUCUUUGGAUUAUCAUGGCGUACUCGUCCUGUCUAAUCCAAGAAAGGGCCUUCAUGUUUGCAGAUAGUUUGGUGCUCUCAUGGUUAUUUUAUAGUGAUUUUCCUUGUAUUUGUUACUUGGUAACCAUCUACUGCAGCUUAGCUAUUGUCCAGUUGCUGACCUUAUGGUGAGUGAUUGAUGGUGCAUGUUUUCCUAUUAGUUUCUUUCUAUGCCAAUGUCUGAAUUUUAUCUUGCCGUUUUGCAUUUCUCCAGGCCUUUCAUUCUCACUGUGAUUCCCCGAGAUGCACUAUUAGUAGGCAUCCACUUUCUAAUAAAAAAUUGGCAGUCAACUUGAACGAGUCAUUUAUCUAGCUACAGCAACCUUCCUUGCUUUUGCAGUCAACUUGAACGAGUCUAUACCUGCCAAAUAUUUACACGUUAGUAUAGCCAGAAAGUCAGAUGAUCGUUCCAUGUUGGUUAGCCGUGAUAAAUCAAAUUUCUAGAGUAGCAGAUGAUUCGUGUCAGGUUUCCUUUAGAGAUUGAAAUAUGUCUUGACUCCAAAAUAAGUAGUACAGCGUCCAGUUCUGCAUAGGUGAAAGCAUACUAUCUAAAACUGGACGGCCUUCUAAAGCUCUGAAACUACUAUUUGUUGUGUAAUCUGUAUCCCCUUUUCAUACUCUAUAUAUGCUUUCUACUUACUAGGAAAAAAUGCGUGAGAACGAUGUCUUGAGGAUGCGAAUUGCACUCAAAUAUAUGCAGGUUUCUUGCCAAACUAACUGCCACUAUUUUAUUUCAGGUGCUUCUUCUGUAACUUAGUGUAUUUUGCUGGCUCUUCUCAUUUCCUGGUGAACUUUUUAGUCUGUACAGUCGAAUCGUUGGAAGUUGUUUUCUACUAUCUAUAGAGGUUUUAUCCAAACUAUUAGCUGCCUGACUUGCUUUUUUGAAGUACACCGUCCUGAUAGACCAAGUGGACCCACACAUUUCCAUGGGAUUUUAGAAAAAUAUAUGUGAAUUUGCAUACAUUUUCUAAAUUUCUAUCUUUUCUUAUCCAUGCUUCUAUAUAUAGCAGGCUCAACAAAAAUGAAUGUCUGAUUGUGUUCAAAUUUCAAGGAAGUGUGCUUCACGUUUCUCUUUCUGCAAUAUUUUUCAGAGUAUAUGAUUUAAUUUUCCUACUUUCCCAGUUACAAUACUGUCUACUUCAUUCUUAGCUUUGCUUUGGGAAAAAUAGGUAUGCAGGUUAUCGAAAGCUCCAUUUUUCUCCAUUAUAUAGAUCAUAUAGCUUUGUGAUCGAAGGUAGGUUGUCACAUAUGGGAUGUUGCCUGUGAAAGUUAUAUACAGCCAUGAGUCCCUGACAAAAUAAUCGCAGCUCAUGUUACUAGGAUCAGGGAACCUCGACCAUUUUUCUGAAACAUGUCGUAGCUCAUGUUCCUACUUUCCCAGCUACACUAUUAUGUACUUCAUUCUUACCUUCGCUUUUGGAAGUUACAUUGCUUUCUUUUCCCUCAUAAACUUGCUAGCGAUAUUGGCGAAGUAAUCCCCACUUCAGAUUUCCCAUUGAAUAAAUAACUAAUUUAGUUUGUUGUAAAAUUGUAGGUCAAGAUCCAUGAAUAGGAGCAAGGCAUCACACCAGCUCUGAGAAGAAAAGGAUAUGAAGACAAAGAUAGACCAGUGUUCUGCUCCGAAGCAAAAACAUUUUACGUGUAAUAAUGAACUGUAAUUUACCACAGUCUCUCUAAAACAGGCCUACCUAUUACCUGUCCGUUGCUUGCUUUUGUAUUAGGAAGUAUGACCCAGUCAUAUAUAUUUACAUUCACGUUGUUUAGUCAUGGUUUGUAUUCAUGAAAAUACCUUUUAAAUCUAGCUUCAAAAUUCUUAUGUGCAGUGAAAUUGUAUCUAGCACUUUGUAAAGAACAAAUGAAAC
This 2968-nucleotide ribosomal RNA is filed under the name Triticum aestivum (bread wheat). Its description in RNAcentral is "partial small subunit ribosomal RNA". The record is from RNAcentral. Lineage: Eukaryota; Viridiplantae; Streptophyta; Magnoliopsida; Poales; Poaceae.